Molecule: ribosomal RNA, 557 nt
Filed under: uncultured bacterium
Lineage: Bacteria
Description: bacterial SSU rRNA
Rfam family: Bacterial small subunit ribosomal RNA
Source: RNAcentral
ACGGGUGAGUAACGCGUGGGAAUCUACCCAUCUCUACGGAAUAACGCAUGGAAACGUGUGCUAAUACCGUAUACGUCCUUCGGGAGAAAGAUUUAUCGGAGAUGGAUGAGCCCGCGUUGGAUUAGCUAGUUGGUGGGGUAAAGGCCUACCAAGGCGACGAUCCAUAGCUGGUCUGAGAGGAUGAUCAGCCACACUGGGACUGAGACACGGCCCAGACUCCUACGGGAGGCAGCAGUGGGGAAUAUUGGACAAUGGGCGCAAGCCUGUUCCAGCCAUGCCGCGUGAGUGAUGAAGGCCCUAGGGUUGUAAAGCUCUUUCACCGGUGAAGAUAAUGACGGUAACCGGAGAAGAAGCCCCGGCUAACUUCGUGCCAGCAGCCGCGGUAAUACGAAGGGGGCUAGCGUUGUUCGGAUUUACUGGGCGUAAAGCGCACGUAGGCGGACUAUUAAGUCAGGGGUGAAAUCCCGGGGCUCAACCCCGGAACUGCCUUUGAUACUGGUAGUCUUGAGUUCGAGAGAGGUGAGUGGAAUUCCGAGUGUAGAGGUGAAAUUCGUAGA